This 253-nucleotide ribosomal RNA is filed under the name uncultured bacterium. RNAcentral describes it as "partial 16S ribosomal RNA". It matches the Rfam family "Bacterial small subunit ribosomal RNA", at positions 524 to 776 of the family's 1533-position model. The record is from RNAcentral.
UACAGAGGGUGCAAGCGUUAAUCGGAAUUACUGGGCGUAAAGCGAGCGUAGUCGGUUAUUUAAGUCGGAUGUGAAAUCCCCGGGCUCAACCUGGGAAUUGCAUUCGAUACUGGAUAGCUAGAGUUCGGCAGAGGGAAGCGGAAUUCCGGGUGUAGCGGUGGAAUGCGUAGAGAUCCGGAGGAAGACCGGUGGCGAAGGCGGCCUGCUGGGCAGAUACUGACACUGAGGCGCGACAGCGUGGGGAGCAAACAGG